RNAcentral lists this transfer RNA (85 nucleotides) under Candidatus Kaiserbacteria bacterium RIFCSPHIGHO2_01_FULL_49_13. RNAcentral describes it as "tRNA-Ser". It matches the Rfam family "tRNA". Rfam says of the family: Transfer RNA (tRNA) molecules are approximately 80 nucleotides in length. Their secondary structure includes four short double-helical elements and three loops (D, anti-codon, and T loops). The record is from RNAcentral. Lineage: Bacteria; Candidatus Kaiseribacteriota.
GGAGGAGUGGCUGAGUGGUCUAAAGCACCGGUUUCGAAAACCGGCAUGCCGCAAGGCAUCGUGAGUUCGAAUCUCACCUCCUCCG